CCCCCUCAAGCAUCAUCAGAUCAGAUAGACCGACCCAGAUAGACACCAAACCUUUACUAGUACUUCUAGUACUACCAGUACCACAUUAUUAGUCAUAACAGCUAAGGAAAGCUUAGGAAAGGGAAAGGUAACCUCAGUACCAAAAACCUAAGCCUAACGUACGUGCCAACUGAGGUGCUCCUAAUUCCUAAGACUCUUCCCUUCUUUCUUCCUUUCUUUCUCUCUUUCUGCUCUUCUUCAGAACAACUCAGAAUUCAGAAGCAAAAGUUGCUAGCACUCAGUACCAUGUACACACGCAAACACCAUAUACUACUGAUUAGUUCAGUACUUAUACUGUUAAUCUAUUCUAGGUGCGUGGUUUCUUUCAACUUUUUAAACUGUAGCUUAAUGCAAAGUGUUUGACACUUUCACAGUCUAUUGUUGAGCUGCCGGUGGAGGCAACAAAUUCCUCUUUUGUUUAGAUCUCCGCUUGCGUUCUUGAGUUUUUGGCAGCUGGGCUUUGUGGGUAUUUUGUGAGAAGCUACGGCAGAUCUGGGUUUUCCUAUUGGAAUUGAGAGUUGAGGUUAAGAUAUUGUUGGAUAGGGUUUAUCCUAGAAAGAGAAGCAAAGAAAGAGAGGUAUUGAGUGCGGGUGAGAACUGGGAAUUGAGGAAGAAGGCAAAAGAGUAUUGGGUAGCUGGUUUUGUGGUUGGUUGGGGCCGGGUGAUUUUCCGUUUUUGGGUACAAGAAGUUUGGUCCAACAUACGCUUUUGGAGUUUCUCUGUUGGAUUUAGGGGUGUAUUUAUUAGAUCUCGUAUUUGCACAUCCAAAAAAAAAAAAAGCAAGGCAAAGAAGAAACCAUUUGCUAUUUGCUAUUUUUCAUUUCCACUAGUAGACCGAUGUAACGGAUGCGGCCAAUCCAAAAAGCAAUUUUGGCUGUUUGUUUGUUAAUACAUUGUGGAAGAGAACAAGAAGGUCAAGCAAGUGUUAGCAGCUAGCUUAGCUCAGUUCCGUUUCUUGAUAAAGAAAAAAGCGUUAUCUUGGGCUCCGACCGCAUUCUUGACUAGUUAGAAAAUCUUUCUCCCUGAAGAACGAAGCAUGGCGAACAGGUGGUGGGCUGGAAACGUGGCUAUGAAUCCGUUAGUAUCACCAUCGACUCCAUCUCCUUCUCUUCACCUAAGAAACAGUGCUACUGCAGAAGAUGAGAAUGCUGCUGGGCUAAACAGGCUUGGACAGCAAAGGAGAGACCAAGACUUCUUGGAUAACACUACAACAACCACCACCACCACCACCAAUACCACUGCCACUAACAGCAGCGGAAGCAACAAUAACCCCAACCCUAACCCAACCUCCCAAAACCCUGAUGAAGAAGAUAGCCGGGAAAAUGAGCCCGAAGCUGAGGAAAAUCCCGGAGCACUUGAAAUCUCUGAGCCGGGUAGCGGCGGUGGAAGUUCUGGAAGGCGACCUAGAGGCAGACCACCCGGCUCGAAAAACAAGCCAAAGCCGCCCAUUGUGAUAACAAAAGAAAGUCCUAAUGCUCUCCGAAGUCAUGUGUUGGAAAUAAGCAGUGGGAAUGAUGUUGCUGAGUGCAUUGCUGCCUUUGCCCAACGGCGCCAUCGGGGCGUCUCGGUUUUGAGUGGAAGUGGUAUUGUGACGAAUGUGACUCUGCGGCAACCGGCUGCACCUGGUGGGGUGAUAACCCUUCACGGGAGAUUCGAGAUAUUGUCUUUAUCAGGUGCAUUCUUGCCUGCUCCUUCCCCUCCUGGAGCUACUGGUUUGACAGUGUACUUAGCGGGCGGUCAAGGGCAAGUUGUUGGUGGAACAGUUGUUGGUCCCUUGAUGGCAUCUGGGCCGGUAAUGGUUAUAGCUGCAACGUUUACAAAUGCAACUUAUGAGAGGUUACCUCUGGAGGAGGAACCAGCCGGUGAAGGGAUUCAAUUGCAGGCAGCAUCAGGAGUUAAUACUGGAACUAUCACUGGUGCUUCUUCAGCUUCUCAAUCUCAUGUGAAUGGCUUAUUCAGGGGUUAGACAGGUGGUGGAGAUGCUGGCAUAGAAAUGUUGUCCAUGAAAUAUGGUAACUCUAAAGUACAAAGCAAAGCUGCUUGGAGUUUGGAUCGGGAAACUUGUGUUUACAGCUUGUACGCAUGGAUGCUAUUCGGGGGCAUGGUAUUAAGAUUCCUCUGUUGGUAUUUAGCGGCAUAUAAAAACUAUCUAAUAGUUGGUUAUCCAUGUAAAUUUUCUUUAAGAAAGUGUAAGUUAUGCACUUUGUUGUAAGUUGAAAAGAUUGCUAGCUGAUCGAUUUUAUUCUUUGAUUCUCUUUAUUCAUCGAUGAUUCUCCUUAUUCCUCUAAAAUGACUGGGAACUUCUGAUUCUGAGUAUGUAUUACAUUUUGUCUAGAGUUAAUAAGAUGAGACUUGAAAGAAAAAGAGAAAGAAAAGGAAAAAGAGAAGAUUAAAGAGACAGCUUGUUUUCUCUUAGAAUGCAUGCUAGAUUCUCUUCAGCUUAUUGUUUACCUUAUCUUUUCCGCAGGAUUUACUUUGAGGGAAAACUCGAAUUGGCAUGAGCAUUCUAUCUUUGAAUUUCUCCUACUGUUUCAUCCAUAAUUUGUUUAGGCUGAACACUGAUUUUUCUGUGUCCGUGAAACUGUUGCUGCUGUGAACUUCUCAGAACGUCAUUAAAAUAUCUGAAUCAAUUAGCAGAACAUAAAAAUAUGAAGUGGGAUAUCAGCAGCAAGAUAGAUUUUUUAGUUAAUCUUGAUUGAGUUUCCUGUUUCAGAACUGCUGAGAACCGUGGUCUGCGACUCAAUUUUCCAGGCAAGCUUAGAUGUGUCUGUUGGAAUAUGCUUAUAUUCCUUUUUCCUAGUGUUAAAAGAAGAAAAUGUAUUCACACAUUUCAGGCUUAUAUACUUCAGGUGCUCUAUGACCUUUUCUUUUCUUCACGGGGUGUUGCAUGUUUUGUAGGGACAGUAAUUUGUAAGCUGCUAUAAAAUGAUUUUGCUUGUGCAUUGUAUCCAUAAGUUUUGUUAUUCAGUGUCACCAACUGCGUUGCAUCAUCAAGUCUAGGGUUUUCUUGAUCUAAUUCUUGUUGGUAAACAUUUCAUUUUCAUAAUCUCUAAUGGCCAUGAUUUCAAGAUGUUAGCUAGUGGUUAAAUGUCUGCAUGGACCCAUUAACAUGUUGUCAUAUGUGUGAUCUAACCAGUUUAGGAUCCAUGCUGGGUUGCAUGCUUGUAGAAUUCACACUUUCCCUUGUCGGAGGUUUAUGCUGCCGGACUGGAUCGGUUAACCCCUACUUUGACAAAUAUUUUAGAUCAUUUUUGUAGGUUGAACAACAUUGUAGGGCACAGCGUAUGAUUCCAUUCGGGGACCAGGCUCUUUGUCCGUGUGCGCUGGCUUAACAUGAAUUGCUAGCUCCGAAGACCGCACCAAAGAAAAGGAAAAUGGCGACAGUCAUCAUUUGCAGAUGCAAUUUCUCUGUGGCGUAAGCACCAAAGAUGUCGUAAUUAGUCGUGGAUAGUUUCUUGAAAGGGAGAGAUAGAAUGCCAAGACGCUAGAUGCGUGUUCUUGGUUUGGUACCUUUGUUUCUAGCCACGGUAGAUGAGAGGUGGUUGUGGAUUCUCUAUGUCCUCCGUCUUCUCUAUUCUGACCUAACAAUAGGUCAAAUGUUGAAUUAGGCUCAAUAUCCCUAUCUACCAUUUGAAAUCGGUGAUUGUAUUGGUGCAAAUUAGCUCAACUCCACGUCAGUUAUGAAGACUUUGUCAUCGGUGAUGGUCGGCUAUUGGCUAUUAUCUCCAGCAGCCAUUGCAGUGGCUCAAGAUAACGUUGCUGUCACCGUGGUUAUAGAACUAUGGUCAUGGGGAGCCAUUUGCGUGAUCGAAGAAGCCAUUUCAAUUAUUUGUCGCUGAAAAUCUCAACAGUUUUCCUUUCUUCCAAUUGCCAGGACAGAGCAGAGCGUAAGCAAGAUGAUUUGGUUAAAGGUCCUUAAACAUUUGUUUGGAUGGUAGAUUAUUUGUAAAAUUUUAUUUAUUUCAUCAUUAAUAUAUUUUGUGAUCACAUUUUUGUCUCAUGUAUAUCACAUUAAAAAA
This is a non-coding RNA of Coffea arabica (coffee), 4058 nucleotides long. The record is from RefSeq and is a predicted model, not a curated record. NCBI's taxonomy places the organism in Eukaryota, Viridiplantae, Streptophyta, Magnoliopsida, Gentianales, Rubiaceae.